GGGGGUGUUCCGGAUUCGACUGCAAUGUGGAAAAUUCGGUCGCGUGUCGAGGAUGACGCUUGGCCUCGUAAAAAAUGCUUCAAACCAUUAAAUGGCGAAAAUAAUAUCGUUAGCUUUGAGCCUGAGCUCGAAGCGCUUGCAGCAUAAGUCUGCACGUCGACAGUCCACUGACACCUGCUGGGUGGUCGGGGCGUUAAAAAGCAGGUAAAACCUCGGAGCGUUUGCUUGUCUAUCGGAGGCUAAAUGGUUGAAGAUAAGCUCGGCUUAAAAGGUGUUCCUUCCUUCUUUAAGCUAAAAUUAAUAAGAGAACUACACACGUAGACGCCAAAUCGGAAAGAUUGCGGGACGCGGGUUCGAUUCCCGCCACCUCCACCA
RNAcentral lists this transfer-messenger RNA (375 nucleotides) under Opitutales. RNAcentral's name for it is "MB11C04 sp002364975 Standard tmRNA". It matches the Rfam family "transfer-messenger RNA". Rfam says of the family: Bacterial tmRNA, also known as 10Sa RNA or SsrA, is named for its dual tRNA and mRNA-like properties. Its role is to liberate the mRNA from a stalled ribosome. To accomplish this part of the tmRNA is used as a reading frame that ends in a translation stop signal. RNAcentral also lists the same sequence under 2 other names. Lineage: Bacteria; Pseudomonadati; Verrucomicrobiota; Opitutia. The record is from RNAcentral.